This 253-nucleotide ribosomal RNA is filed under the name uncultured bacterium. RNAcentral's name for it is "partial 16S ribosomal RNA". It matches the Rfam family "Bacterial small subunit ribosomal RNA", at positions 524 to 776 of the family's 1533-position model. The record is from RNAcentral.
UACGAAGGGGGCUAGCGUUGCUCGGAAUUACUGGGCGUAAAGGGCGCGUAGGCGGCACUGUUAGUCAGGCGUGAAAGUCCUGGGCUCAACCUGGGAACUGCGCUUGAUACGGCAGAGCUAGAGGAUGGAAGAGGCUCGCGGAAUUCCCAGUGUAGAGGUGAAAUUCGUAGAUAUUGGGAAGAGCACCGGUGGCGAAGGCGGCGAGCUGGUCCAUUACUGACGCUGAGGCGCGACAGCGUGGGGAGCAAACAGG